GGAUGAUAAUAGGUGAUAUAUAUAUUUAUCUGUAAAAAGUAAACAUCAUACUUUAUACUACGAUUGCGUCCGUAACGCUUUUCUGAAUUAACAUUCAGUAGGAACGAUCAAAACCAAGCUGUUAAACCAAAGGAUGUAUACGAACCGAAACAUAAAAUACUUUUAACAUCGUCAUCAAAACAUGAAGAUGGAAAGCUUAAGAAAG
RNAcentral lists this long non-coding RNA (205 nucleotides) under Mytilus galloprovincialis (Mediterranean mussel). The record is from RNAcentral. Lineage: Eukaryota; Metazoa; Mollusca; Bivalvia; Mytilida; Mytilidae.